UGAGCACAUGUCAUGAGGUGAUCGUCGCCCGACACAGCGGCAUGCGCGUUCUCGGCAUCUCCAUGAUAACAAACUGCGUUGUCAUGGACUACGAGGACCAAAAGCUUGCCAAUCACGAGGAGGUUCUGGAGACGGGCCGAGUCCGCGGCAAAGAUCUUCAAGCCCUCAUCAUAAAGGUGAUCAGCAUGAUGCCUGAGCCGGUGGGACCCGAAAAGGUCGAGGUUUAACCUCGAAGAAGCCCAUAGUAUUCAACCAGGUGGAGGUGUAAAGCUCUUGAAGGAAGCCAGAUAUGUCGAGGCGUCUCUCCGAGGAGCGAGGGCGCGCGCGGAACGGUUGGAGGUGUGAGGCUCCGUGAGGAGGAGGAGCGCAAGGUGAGGGACCCAAACAGGUGGAGAUGCGAUGAACGUCAAGAUUCUGCCUGAGACGUCGUGAGACGCGAGCCGCCGCCGCCGCGCCAUCCACAAAUCUCCGCACUCUUUCCCCCUUCCCCAGGGUGUGAUAUCUGCGAUGUCGUACGAAGCGCGCCGUACGUGCAAGCAGUCAAUCGAGGGUUUGCACGCAAGCAGUCGCGCGAUCCCGGCCUUACGAUGCGCAGGUGUCGAGUCGUUUGACGACGCGUUUUUUCGCAAAGUCGUUUGUCCUGUGCCUGUGCCAGGUGUGUGCCUGGGUGCCAGGUCACAUAAACAGGUACGAAGUUCACCUGAUUACCUCAGUACACACUCCCCCCCCCCGGCGAUUGUUUGCGUGCAGCCUGUACGCGUGUAGGGUUGGCUUUUAAAAGCGUUUAGAUCGUCUGUUGCUUUGUUAGUGCGCGGGAGGGGGGAGGACGGAGAUUUGUGGAUGAGCAAAAGCGGUUAGUUUCGUAACUAAAUCUAAAGUGGCGACGGUAACCACCACGAAUCGGAAUACGUAAAGAUAACAGUGCAAAUAUAACUAAUUGAAACUGAAAAGGUACGCGGGGCUGUUCACAUUCAUCACCGUUAUCGGCAGCGUAUAACCCUUGCACGCAACUGCCCCAAAACUGCCCCUUCCCGCCCAAAACUGCAAAAUAUAAUUGCUGAGCACUGAUUUACUUAGAUAGAGUGAUAGGAGCGCGCUAGUUGGCCUCCUUUUGUAUUUCUAACCACGCACAACAACCGCUGCCACCGCUUCCCCCUGUGUCUGUUUUGUACUCUUGUAGUAAUGUGGAUGACUGUGAACGGCCCCUGGGUAAAAGAUGUUUGGGACCAUUUUUACAUAAAAAGUGCAUGUAUGUAACGUACAUAUGCCUGUUGCAAGGCAUGAUUGGAGGAUACCAGUCACGUAAGUUUAAGAAUGAUUUACAGUGUUAUUAUGUUUAAAGUCUGCUGCUUACAGAAUGUUAUAGGUUAGUAUUCACUAGAAAUGUUUUUUAAAUGUUUGAAGAUUGUUUGUAUCAGUAGACAUCCUAUUCAUUGGUGUCUCUUUUGGUUAUGUCGUUAACUUCUAUUUAAAGUGUAAAUAUUGCUAUUUAGAAUAAGUAUGUGAGUAAUCAUUAUCAAUAUGAAAGUAAUAGUGAAAUUUAUAGUAUUGCGAUCCCCUUAUUAUACCGUAUUUUUCAAAUAAUUACAAUUCUUUCAGUCCAUCCUGUACAUUUAAAAACCUCCAUGAAAAGUUCAGCUAGGGAAUAGCAAAAGUACUGACGACUUCACACCGCCAACAAAUUAACGACAGUUUCUCAAACAUUGAUUGAAAAAAAUGGUGAAUAUACACUUAAUUUUAAAAUGAUUAACUGUAAAUAACUGUUAAACCUAUGUUGAAGUUAUAAUUCGUAACUAUUGUUGUAUUUCCAAUGUCUAUUUUUUGUGUCACAUUUCCUAUAGUUGGGCAAAAAGAUGAUAAAUUAGGUCAUGUGUGUGUGUUUGACUGGUACACAACUCUUCUUCCCUCCAUCCCUGAUUCAAACUAUAUGUUAUUACCAUUAUCUUUGUAUCUGCGUGCGUCACCAACCCCAAUAGUGUCUGGCCUAGAGUGUACAUAGAUUGCUACACUUUAUUCCACCUGUAUCUUAAAACGGUGACACUACAAACAUGUCUUGAUUUACUAUCAACUAUUGCCCAACUGUUGAGGUAUUCUGAGCAAAUAUUCCUUUACUAUUAUAACACACUUGAUUGUAUCCAUGCCAUUUGAUGCCCUUGAUGUGAUCGUCUGUAUGUUCGUCUAUAUGUUGCGCCGAACAAUAUCAAUGCACACCCAGCAAUAAAAACAAGUAUACCUGUUAUAACCUU
This 2246-nucleotide long non-coding RNA is filed under the name Priapulus caudatus. RNAcentral describes it as "uncharacterized LOC106809238". Lineage: Eukaryota; Metazoa; Priapulida; Priapulimorpha; Priapulimorphida; Priapulidae. The record is from RNAcentral.